CGUCCAUUCAUUCAAGGCCGACGUAUGUUUCUUAGAGGUCGUUAAACCGGGUGGUUUCACUUCAAAGUCGAGGAUCAAUGGAUGUUGUUUUGUCACGACUUUUCUCAAGGACAGCAUCAAGCGUAAACAGAAAAUAAAAUCUGAUGUCGAGAGAUGUGCGAAGGAAAGAGUAAAGGAGAGCAUCUGAUAAGGAGAAUAUCAAGCAUAGAAUGAGAACUUCUCGAGAUAGAUAAAUUCAGGGGAGGAAAGGAAAACUGGAAAAAAUCU
This is a non-coding RNA of Pocillopora verrucosa, 267 nucleotides long. The record is from RefSeq and is a predicted model, not a curated record. NCBI's taxonomy places the organism in Eukaryota, Metazoa, Cnidaria, Anthozoa, Scleractinia, Pocilloporidae.